UUUAUGUUUGUUAUGUUCGUUCUGUCUGUCUGUGUGUCUGUCUCCCUGGCUGGGUGUGGCUGACCCACUUCUGAUUCCCGCCAACUCACCUCCGCAGCUGCUGCUCAUCAUCCUGAUUACACUACUCACCUUCACCUGCUUAUAUGCCCGGUCCUCUCAUCCAGUAUUCACCAGUUCGUCGUUUCACCUCGCUGAAUCCAUCUGCCUACUCCUCUGCCUGCCACAUCCAGCCACGUACCUCUCGUCUGAGUAUCUCCGUGCUUCCACGCACACCGGCUCCAACCUGUCAACUAUCGCCAGCUCUGGAUCAGCGGCUUUCCUCGCCAGUGUACCUUCGUGCUUCCACGCACACCAGCUCCUUCCUGUCGACUCUCACCAGCUCUGGUCCCCCGGCUCUCCUCGCCAGAGUAUCUCCGUGCAUAUCCGCACCACCUCAGUUAACAAACCCUGGCUUUGGGUUUAUUGGAUAUUUAAUCCCUCGUCUGACUCUAUAUAAGGUUUUUGGUUAAUAAACCUUUUUCUACCUCAAAA
Trematomus bernacchii (emerald rockcod) is the source of this 531-nucleotide long non-coding RNA. RefSeq lists it as uncharacterized. The record is from RefSeq and is a predicted model, not a curated record. NCBI's taxonomy places the organism in Eukaryota, Metazoa, Chordata, Actinopteri, Perciformes, Nototheniidae. The transcript has 2 exons.